AAAAGAAACUAACAAGGAUUCCCCUAGUAGCGGCGAGCGAAGCGGGAAGAGCUCAAAUUUAUAAUCUGGCACUUUCAGUGUCCGAGUUGUAAUCUCUAGAAGUGUUUUCCGCGUUGGACCGCACACAAGUCUGUUGGAAUACAGCGGCACAGUGGUGACACCCCCGUACACGGUGCGGACGCCCAGCGCUUUGUGAUACACUUUCGAAGAGUCGAGUUGUUUGGGAAUGCAGCUCAAAUUGGGUGGUAAAUUCCAUCUAAAGCUAAAUAUUGGCGAGAGACCGAUAGCGAACAAGUACCGUGAGGGAAAGAUGAAAAGCACUUUGGAAAGAGAGUUAACAGUACGUGAAAUUGUUGGAAGGGAAACGCUUGAAGUCAGACUUGCUUGCCGGAGCUUGCUUCGGUUUGCAGGCCAGCAUCAGUUUUCCGGGGUGGAUAAUGGCGGUUAGAAGGUAGCAGCUUCAGCUGUGUUAUAGCUUUCCGCUGGAUACAUCCUGGGGGACUGAGGAACGCAGCGUGCUUUUAGCGGGGGUUUCGACCUCUUCACGCUUAGGAUGCUGGUGUAAUGGCUUUAAACGACCC
Molecule: ribosomal RNA, 581 nt
Filed under: Rhodotorula paludigena
Lineage: Eukaryota; Fungi; Basidiomycota; Microbotryomycetes; Sporidiobolales; Sporidiobolaceae
Description: partial large subunit ribosomal RNA
Rfam family: Eukaryotic large subunit ribosomal RNA
Source: RNAcentral